Dendrobium catenatum is the source of this 2416-nucleotide long non-coding RNA. RefSeq lists it as uncharacterized. The transcript is spliced from 2 exons. The record is from RefSeq and is a predicted model, not a curated record. Lineage: Eukaryota; Viridiplantae; Streptophyta; Magnoliopsida; Asparagales; Orchidaceae.
UCUAACUCAGGUUUCCAGCCAUCAUGAUUAAAGGAUUCUGCAGGGCUUUCUCCACCCACUGAAGUUUGAAAGCAGGAAGGGGAAGGAGCAUUUCGCAGAAUCAUCUCGCUCCAGCUGCCAGGUUUCAUCUUUAACGCAUGUAUUACUCUUGAAUCUUGUAGAAUGAUAACUCUAAUGCCAAACUUGUCAGCCGCAACGCAAUAGAGUACAGACAAAAGAAGCAGAACACCAACAAUAGCUCUCCGAUGAAAAGCAUCCAGCUGGUAGCCUUUAACUAGAACACGCACACCGAACCCUAAACCCUAAAACGGGCAGAAAGAAAGACGUCGGGGUUUUAAAACUGAAUAAUAAGCCUCCAUAGUCGGGGCAGAAUCUCGAAAUUUGGAGAAACAAUAAGCGCUUCUAACGGCAGAAGCAAUGUGCGCAAUGGUUAGCCACUGUGGCUGUCGCCUACUUCGUUCUCUUCCUUUGUAUGAGCUUAAUUCUAUGAAGAAUGUCAUAAAUUGAUUGACCAGUUAGAUACAUGGCAGAUCUAGCAAAGAUACUUCUGUUAGUUCGGGCAUAUGUCUCUUCCUCCCUCUUUAUUUUAAGACUCAAGAUUUGGAACUUCACAAAAUUUUUGAUUGAAGGAGUUUAAGCAUAUAAGAAGCGAUUUUGAAUGCACAAAGUAUCAGAUUCUUUUAGUUGGCCUUCCUCUGGAUGCUGGUGAUAUUCUGAUAAGGUAAUGGCUUCUCACCUUCCCCUUCUAGUGGUGGUGCUCCCUCCUAAACUCUUCUUAGUGUAUUAAAGACCAGCAUUCGGCCUUUGCCAGAGGGUUGCAUGCACUCUCUCCCCACCUCUUCCUUUGAAAUCCCAUCCACUUCACCCCAACAUCCAUAAAGCCCUCUUAGUUAGGGAGAUCUAUAAAUCUGAUCUCUCCUCUUCACAAAUCUUAACGUUUUUCCUUCUAUUCCCUCCACCUUUUGUUCAAUUCUUGAGGUUCUAUCCCCUAACGCAAACCUUCAGGAAGUGAGAAUGUUGCCGCUUCAUAAUGGCCCCUGUCCUCCAUCUUAGAAAGGAAGCCCUAAUUGGAAUGAUCUAUUAUGUGCCCACGGUGCAAGGAGUUCAAAAAUUUCCCUAGCCUUCAUGUAAAGUGAUGAACAGAAAUUACUAUUCUCUACAAAAGAUCUAUUCGAAAGAGGAAAAGAGUGGAAGCUACCUCUCAUCGGGCAUGCUGCAGAUAGCAACCUUACUAUGAAUCUCUCCUCACUAUAGUGAAAAGCAAUGGAACUUUUAAAGGUAAUAUCGAUCUACACACACUUGUUGGUGUUUUUUUCUCAUUUAAAUUUAAUUGUUAGGAGGACAAUGAGUUACUAUGGAACAACAAUCCCCAAUUUUUUUAAGGUAAAAUCCUUCAUCUUUAUUAUGUGGAAUUUGUUGAGAUUCCUAUAUGGAUUAAACUCCCAAACUCCCCUGUAUUGCUAUUGGAAUAAGGAAGACUUAUCCAAGGUGACUUGCAAAGUUUGGAUUCCUGUUACUGCUGAUAUCUUGAUUGAAUCAAAAUCCCAUCUGACUUUUUCUAGUGUCUGUUGAUUUCUCCCUCCUAUUUCAUACCGGAAUCCUUUCUCAUCAACCUUAAUGAAAGGAAAAUCUGUCGAUAGAUUGUAUAUGAUUGGAGGCCUUCUGUAUGCAAAUCAUGUUAUAUAUUUCUUUAUAAUGCGAAGUCCUAUCCUCAAACAAACCCUAUCCUCACAAUACUUUGGCACAUGAUAGAAGUCGGAGGAGGGACGCAGGUGAUAAAAGUGGUAGGAUGCCCUCACUCAGUUCUGGUCUUGUUAAUCAGACCCACACUUCAUCUAUUGCUGCAAGCCUGAUUUUAUUGAGUGGUGUUCUGCCAUGGUAAAUGAGCUUAUUAAACCCACCUCUUUUGAGUUCCAGUCUAUUACUGUUUCUCUUACAGGAAAUGCCUCUACUUCACAUAUAAAUGCUGCCCAUUGUCUUACACGAUUUCAGAUGUUUCACUAAUACAUUUUCCUAGAAACCAAACAAACCUCACCAUCGAUUUAACAUUACUAGUUCUGCCUAGCCCUUUUAUUAUUCCUAAGGAGGUUGUUUUUGGAUUACAUAACCAAACGCAUGAUGCUGCUAGACAAAUAGGAAAACAUCUAAGAAUGUCUUCUUUGCUUCAAAAGGUAAAAGGGCUGAUCAGAAAAGCUCCAACUCCACCGCUUUAUGUCCUUAUCAUGCAUCUUGAAACUUAAGAGGGCUCCAUGAUUCAAAUUUAGACCUUAUUUGUCAGUUGGAGAUUCAGUUGAAUAUUGAGUUUCUUCAUUAAGAGAAGAAUGCUGCUAUUUCCUAAUGAAAAAGGUUAUGAUAAUUUCUGUUGCUUAUCGGAGAAGAAUUUGCAUAAAAUGAAAUAAAUCUCAUAUCUUGGUCA